UUUGAAUUCAUAAAAGGAAGAAGGGGAAAUGAAGGUGAUGAGCAAUUGAGCAUUUAGUGAUGAACAAAGAUUAAUGUUCAUCACUAAAACAUGACUUUGUAUAAUAUAGAACAUAUUACAUGUGACAUAAACAUCAAAAACUCAACAUAGUUUUUAUCCUCGCAUCAUGUUGAUACUACACAAGUUUUUCAUAAUGCAAUCAUAGUAAAUCUCCCCAUGAAGAACCUCAACUGCAAUUAUCACUGUUAUUGUCCUCCAGUGUCGUGUCGUCUGUGUUGCUGCAAACAAAAAUGUAUUAAAUACAUACAUAAUACUAUCUUCAUAUGUUUCAAAUUUACAUUAAAUUAUAUUUUUUAUUUUUAGAUCAAACAAAGGGUUUAUUACCUUUCUUCAACAUAUGAUCCUUCGUUAUGGUCCGAUCUUAAGUAAGCAGCGUCAUUAAUAUCAACAUUCAUAGAUGGAAUACCGAUAGAAAAUGGAGGUAGGUUAUCAUGGAUGUCAUCCUCUGAAUCAUCUGUAUCAUCAUAAUUAGAUUCGACAUCAAUUGUGUUGUGAUCAAUCAAUAACUCGCCAUGUUGUGAUCAACACGUAUAUCGAUUCAUAAAUCCUUCAAAUAUCAUAUAUUCUUCUAUUACAUCCAAAUCAUAGACCUUUUUACAAUUUUGGUACAUUUUACAAGGACACCAAAUGUAACAUUCUCCUCUAUGCACCCGACGAUCCUCAACAACUUUAAGAAACUUCUUGAGGUUAUGUACAUAUUCACUGCUAGCCCAUGGUAGUCCAUACAUCCAAGUUUCAUGAUACACCUGUGUAAUAAAAUACCACAAAAAGAAAGGAUUAGAGUCAUCCCACAAAAUAAUAACAAUGUAAAAGGUAUAAUAUAAUAUAAAAUAUAAAUAUUAACUAUCUGUUCUAUCAAUGGGUCGGUUGUUCUCAGUAACGUACAGCUCCAAGAGCGUGCAAUACUCAAGGACUGUCAAGUAGUAUUUUUCAUUCCAAUGUUCAUGUUAAUUACAAUUGAUUUUAACAAGAGGGUGUUUGAAUUUUAAGAUUCCAAUAAUUUUGUUUGGGGACAAUAAUUUUGGGGAGAGAGUAAUACUUACUUCUAAAUUAGUUCAGCUAGGUUUGAUAUUAAUAUCUAACACUUUUAUUUUAUUUUUUUUCAUUUUCCUUUUCCUUUUUUUGAUUAACUACUUUUUUUUAGAUUCUUUUUAGCAUAAUUUCAGAGUGGAGGAUAUCUUUUUCAGGUAUCAUAAAAGCGGCCUUAAUGCAGUUUUUGGUACAUCAAAAUAUAUUUCCGACAAGAACAGUUUUUGGUUUUGGAGAAAUUAAGAAAACAAGUUACGGAAAAUAAGGUGGGGAAGGGCUUUUCUGGAAUUGGAAUCGGAAUUGGAAUUGUUUGUGAUUUCCGUGAACUAAUGGCGGGAGUUGUCACAUUGCAAUCAAGUAAAAAAUGCGUUUUUAUUUUUUUAUUUUGUCCAAAUUUGAAUUUUUGUUACACCUGUUUGCAGUUAUUCAUGGUGAAAAUUCAAGAAGGAAGAUAUUUUAGCCAUGUCUGCAGCUGGAAGAUGUCUACAAAGGUAAUUUUAUUUUAUUUUAGAAACUAAAUAUAAUUAUAAUAACAAAAUGGUUGUUUUUUUGUAUAUAGGGUAUGUUGCAAGAUAAUCUUCCGAUUAUGCCCUCGGAUGUUAUAGAGCUGCAGAAGCUGAUCAUCAAGGGAGACAUGUCCCUGACUCAAAAGGAGCAAGAAAAUACAGCUUUGAGGGACCAAAUUAAACAAUUUGAAACACAUUGGUCUAAACAUGAAAUUAAAAUGAAGUCUGUGGAGGAAACUUGGCAAAAACAGAUUGCUUCUUUACAGGUCACUUUACCAUUUUACCCUUUUACAAUUUGGAAUUUUGUCUUGUGAUUAACCUUAGUUGGUUUGGGCUAGUGACUUUACCCUUCUACAAUUGAGUUUAAUUUCUUACCCUUUUACCAAUGAAUUUACAUUAUUAUCCUUUUUUUACAAGUGAUUUUACCUUUAUACCCUUUUACAAAUAAGUGAGUUUACUUACCAUAUGGUUUGUUGUUGAAUGGUGCAGAAGAGUUUGGUUGCAGCCAAGAAGAGUUUUGGGGGAGGGGAUUCAGGGGGGAUGGCAUUAGCAACAUUUCUUUAGGAACUCAAACUCUUGUGGAAUACAAUGGUGGUGGGGUGGUGGCGGAUCAUCUAUCAAAGGAGUUGGAUCAAAAAACACAUGAUUUUGAUGAUGAUGCUAAAACCAUUAUUGGACAACAACAACAACAGAUGCCUUAUCUCAAACAAAUGGAAAAGUUUAAGAAGGUCAAAGAUAGAUUUGAAAUAUGGAAGAAAGAGUACAAGAAUCGAUUAAAGGAGACAAGGGCAAAAUUGGUAAAAGGUGUAAAUGGGGAAGGAGGGACAAAACUGUCAUGGUAGGGGAAGUUAAGCAAGAGAUAUUAACUAGUGUUUAUAGGUUUGCUUGCUCAUGUUGUUUAGAAAAAGAAAAAAAAAAGGAAAAUCUUAUAUCAAAUGGUAAAGUGUUAUUUUUUUCUUCUUAUUUUAUAUUGUUAGGGUAUUGGGUUUCAACUGUUAUAGUGAACUGUGAAAAUAUAUGAAAAGAUAAAUUUUUUUUUUUUUUUUCAAUUGUGAUAAUUUGAUUUGGUUUCUUGAUUUGGUAUUUUGAUUUGGAUGGGUGUCAUGUGUUUAAGUUAUAUAUUGUAUCAUAUAUGUUUAGAUUGUUUUUUCAUUUGGAUUGAAUCAUGUGGUUUUGCUCAAUGUAUGUUUAGUUCUUAACUUCAAACUAGAUAUUAUGUUUAAGAUAAGUCCUUAAUUUUAUAUUUAUGAUUAUAAGUACAUUCUUUUCAUUUAUAGACGUAGGGUAAAUUGGGUUUAUUUUCAUAAAAAUAGAAACAAAUUUUAUGAAUGUAGUGUUUUAUUCAUUUAUUCAGAUAUUUUGAUAGGCUUGAUGAAAAAGGGAAUGUGGUCUCUGUUAGUUACAAUGUUCAUGUUAAUUACAAUUGAUUUUAACAAGUGGGUGUUUGAAUUUUAGGAUUCCAAAGUCAUUUGGUUAAAAUUAAACAAUAAGUUUUCAAAAUAGAGAUCCUACCAUUUGAUUUUGCAUCUCGAUCACAGGCGCUCCCUUAUCCAUCGUGAAAUAGUUGUAGUUCCUUUGUAUUUUUGCCUGUGUUUGUCUGUUGCAAAAACAGAAAUCAAAGCUCUUGCCGUAUGAUGAUGAUGGUCCGGUGGUGGGUUGGUUGAAUUAUUGGAGGUGCGAGGCGAGGCUGGCCGGUGAUGAUGGUGUUGCGACAGGGGAGAUAGAGAUAAAGGACCGAUUAGUGGUGUAGAGAUGGAGGAAGGGUGGUGUUAAGGUGUUGGGUUGGGCGGAGAAGUGUAGGAGGAGGAAGCUGAGUACUAGAUGUUGUAAGCUGAGGAAGCUGAGUACUUAUUCAGCGUAUUCAAUUUAGGUAUUGAGCCGUACUUUAUUCCAAAAUGUGGCGUAUUUUAUUUAGGUAUUUGAUCUUGUUUCUAGUACAACACAUUAACCGUAUUAGAUGUUGUAAUUGGGCGUAUUAUAUUUAUUUAGCCCUUUCUAAUACGGUUUUUAUUUACAACCGUAUUAGAUGUGGGUGUACUGUAUAGCCUGUUUUCCAGUAGUGCUAGCUAGAACUCUAACUAAUGUUUGUAACUUUAAAAUUAGGUGUAUGUUACAAACAUAUGUGUAAAUUAGUGGAUCCCCAACUACAUUAAAGGCCCUUGUUUUUAAAACAAUCAGAUAGAAAGUGAAC
Molecule: long non-coding RNA, 3786 nt
Filed under: Lactuca sativa (garden lettuce)
Lineage: Eukaryota; Viridiplantae; Streptophyta; Magnoliopsida; Asterales; Asteraceae
Description: long non-coding RNA (LSAT_LNC005383)
Source: RNAcentral